GAGGAGAAUCGGAGUAACUCCAACCCCUGUGACAUACCUUAUGUUGCCUCGGCGGAUCAGCCCGCGCCCCGUAAAAAGGGACGGCCCGCCGCAGGAACCCUAAACUCUGUUUUUAGUGGAACUUCUGAGUAUAAAAAACAAAUAAAUCAAAACUUUCAACAACGGAUCUCUUGGUUCUGGCAUCGAUGAAGAACGCAGCAAAAUGCGAUAAGUAAUGUGAAUUGCAGAAUUCAGUGAAUCAUCGAAUCUUUGAACGCACAUUGCGCCCGCCAGUAUUCUGGCGGGCAUGCCUGUUCGAGCGUCAUUUCAACCCUCAAGCCCAGCUUGGUGUUGGGAGCUGCAGUCCUGCUGCACUCCCCAAAUACAUUGGCGGUCACGUCGAGCUUCCAUAGCGUAGUAAUUUACACAUCGUUACUGGUAAUCGUCGCGGCCACGCCGUUAAACCCCAACUUCUGAAUGUUGACCUCGGAUCAGGUAGGAAUACCCGCUGAACUUAAGCAUAUCAAUAAGCGGAGGAA
RNAcentral lists this ribosomal RNA (518 nucleotides) under uncultured Fusarium. Its description in RNAcentral is "eukaryotic LSU rRNA". The stretch from base 151 to 304 matches the Rfam family "5.8S ribosomal RNA". Lineage: Eukaryota; Fungi; Ascomycota; Sordariomycetes; Hypocreales; Nectriaceae. The record is from RNAcentral.